This 253-nucleotide ribosomal RNA is filed under the name uncultured bacterium. RNAcentral describes it as "partial 16S ribosomal RNA". It matches the Rfam family "Bacterial small subunit ribosomal RNA", at positions 524 to 776 of the family's 1533-position model. The record is from RNAcentral.
UACAGAGGUCCCAAGCGUUGUUCGGAUUUAUUGGGCGUAAAGGGUGCGUAGGCGGUCGCCUAAGUCAGGUGUGAAAUCUCGGGGCUCAACCUCGAAACUGCACUUGAUACUGGGUGGCUAGAGUACUGGAGAGGAGACUGGAAUUUACGGUGUAGCAGUGAAAUGCGUAGAUAUCGUAAGGAAGACCAGUGGCGAAGGCGAGUCUCUGGACAGUUACUGACGCUGAGGCACGAAGGCCAGGGGAGCAAACGGG